RNAcentral lists this ribosomal RNA (480 nucleotides) under uncultured bacterium. Its description in RNAcentral is "partial 16S ribosomal RNA". It matches the Rfam family "Bacterial small subunit ribosomal RNA", at positions 28 to 523 of the family's 1533-position model. The record is from RNAcentral.
GACGAACGCUGGCGGCGUGCUUAACACAUGCAAGUCGAACGGAAAGGCCCUGCUUGCAGGGUACUCGAGUGGCGAACGGGUGAGUAACACGUGGGUGAUCUGCCCUGCACUUCGGGAUAAGCCUGGGAAACUGGGUCUAAUACCGGAUAGGACCAUCGUCUAGUGUCGGUGGUGGAAAGUUUUUCGGUGCAGGAUGAGCUCGCGGCCUAUCAGCUUGUUGGUGGGGUAAUGGCCUACCAAGGCGUCGACGGGUAGCCGGCCUGAGAGGGUGGACGGCCACAUUGGGACUGAGACACGGCCCAGACUCCUACGGGAGGCAGCAGUGGGGGAUAUUGCACAAGGGGCGCAAGCCUGAUGCAGCGACGCCGCGUGGGGGAUGAAGGCCUUCGGGUUGUAAACUCCUUUCAACCAUGACGAAGCAUUAUGUGACGGUAGUGGUAGAAGAAGCACCGGCUAACUACGUGCCAGCAGCCGCCGUAA